Molecule: ribosomal RNA, 496 nt
Filed under: uncultured bacterium
Lineage: Bacteria
Description: partial 16S ribosomal RNA
Rfam family: Bacterial small subunit ribosomal RNA
Source: RNAcentral
GAUGAACGCUGGCGGCGUGCCUAAUACAUGCAAGUCGAGCGAACGGACGAGAAGCUUGCUUCUCUGAUGUUAGCGGCGGACGGGUGAGUAACACGUGGAUAACCUACCUAUAAGACUGGAUAACUUCGGGAAACCGGAGCUAAUACCGGAUGAUAUUUUGAACCGCAUGGUUCAAAAGUGAAAGACGGUCUUGCUGUCACUUAUAGAUGGAUCCGCGCUGCAUUAGCUAGUUGGUAAGGUAACGGCUUACCAAGGCAACGAUGCAUAGCCGACCUGAGAGGGUGAUCGGCCACACUGGAACUGAGACACGGUCCAGACUCCUACGGGAGGCAGCAGUAGGGAAUCUUCCGCAAUGGGCGAAAGCCUGACGGAGCAACGCCGCGUGAGGGAUGAAGGUCUUCGGAUCGUAAAACUCUGUUAUUAGGGAAGAACAUAUGUGUAAGUAACUGUGCACAUCUUGACGGUACCUAAUCAGAAAGCCACGGCUAACUACGUG